CUAAGGUUUCUUAAAGUGUUCAUCUUCAAGCUCAAGCUCCAAGCAUACUACGCAUCAUCCUCUACUCCACCUCCAUUGAUCUUGUUGGUUCGAGUGACGGCCGGCGUUAGUACGACUCUGAGCGUUACGUCAUCGACCCCUGAGACAGGUCUGGCUUGGCGCGAGGAUGGGUGAAAGCUGUUGGAAUUGUCAGUUGGCUGUGUCUUUCCUAUGUCUCAUAUUUAUCUUUAUAAGCUUUGACUCUAUAAGAAUUUGAACUCCCUGCUAUAUGUCUUCACACAUAUAGUAACGCAUCUCGCUGCAUAACUCUGAUGAAACUCUUUAUUUAAUUUGCUUAUGUCUGUAAUAUCCCUUAAGGGAAAUACUUCUCAGACC
Molecule: long non-coding RNA, 375 nt
Organism: Salvia miltiorrhiza (redroot sage)
Lineage: Eukaryota; Viridiplantae; Streptophyta; Magnoliopsida; Lamiales; Lamiaceae
Exons: 3
Source: RefSeq, a predicted model, not a curated record